GCGGGUGUUGUAUAAUGGCUAUUACAUCAGGUUUCCAACCUGAGGACGAGGGUUCGAUUCCCUUCACCCGCUCAA
This 75-nucleotide transfer RNA is filed under the name Candidatus Moranbacteria bacterium RIFOXYA1_FULL_44_7. Its description in RNAcentral is "tRNA-Gly". It matches the Rfam family "tRNA". Rfam says of the family: Transfer RNA (tRNA) molecules are approximately 80 nucleotides in length. Lineage: Bacteria; Candidatus Moraniibacteriota. RNAcentral also lists the same sequence under 2 other names. The record is from RNAcentral.